This 253-nucleotide ribosomal RNA is filed under the name uncultured bacterium. RNAcentral's name for it is "partial 16S ribosomal RNA". It matches the Rfam family "Bacterial small subunit ribosomal RNA", at positions 524 to 776 of the family's 1533-position model. The record is from RNAcentral.
UACGUAGGGUGCGAGCGUUAAUCGGAAUUACUGGGCGUAAAGCGUGCGCAGGCGGCUUCGCAAGUCAGGCGUGAAAUCCCCGGGCUUAACCUGGGAAUGGCGUCUGAAACUACGGAGCUGGAGUGUGGCAGAGGGAGGUAGAAUUCCACGUGUAGCGGUGAAAUGCGUAGAUAUGUGGAGGAAUACCGAUGGCGAAGGCGGCCCCCUGGGCCGGCCCUGACACUGAGACGCGAAGGCGUGGGGAGCGAACGGG